GACGAACGCUGGCGGCGUGCUUAACACAUGCAAGUCGAACGAAGAGCGAUGGAAGCUUGCUUCUAUCAAUCUUAGUGGCGAACGGGUGAGUAACGCGUAAUCAACCUGCCCUUCAGAGGGGGACAACAGUUGGAAACGACUGCUAAUACCGCAUACGAUCUGACCUCGGCAUCGAGGAUAGAUGAAAGGUGGCCUCUACAUGUAAGCUAUCACUGAAGGAGGGGAUUGCGUCUGAUCAGCUAGUUGGAGGGGUAACGGCCCACCAAGGCGAUGAUCAGUAGCCGGUCUGAGAGGAUGAACGGCCACAUUGGGACUGAGACACGGCCCAGACUCCUACGGGAGGCAGCAGUGGGGAAUCUUCCGCAAUGGACGAAAGUCUGACGGAGCAACGCCGCGUGAGUGAUGACGGCCUUCGGGUUGUAAAGCUCUGUUAAUCGGGACGAAAGGCCUUUUUGCGAAUAGUGAGAAGGAUUGACGGUACCGGAAUAGAAAGCC
Molecule: ribosomal RNA, 495 nt
Filed under: Veillonella parvula
Lineage: Bacteria; Bacillati; Bacillota; Negativicutes; Veillonellales; Veillonellaceae
Description: bacterial SSU rRNA
Rfam family: Bacterial small subunit ribosomal RNA
Source: RNAcentral